RNAcentral lists this ribosomal RNA (253 nucleotides) under uncultured bacterium. RNAcentral describes it as "partial 16S ribosomal RNA". It matches the Rfam family "Bacterial small subunit ribosomal RNA", at positions 524 to 776 of the family's 1533-position model. The record is from RNAcentral.
UACAGAGGUCUCGAGCGUUAAUCGGAGUCACUGGGCUUAAAGGGUGCGUAGGCGGGUCCGCAAGUGCUUUGUGAAAUCCCAUGGCUUAACCAUGGAACUGCUUGGCAGACUGCGGAUCUUGAGGUCGGUAGAGGCUGCUGGAACUCUAGGUGGAGCGGUGAAAUGCGUAGAUAUCUAGAGGAACGCCGAUGGUGAAGACAGGCAGCUGGGCCGAUUCUGACGCUGAGGCACGAAAGCGUGGGUAGCAAACGGG